AGGGCGCACGGUGGAUGCCUUGGCACUAGAAGCCGAUGAAGGACGUUACUAACGACGAUAUGCUUUGGGGAGCUGUAAGUAAGCUUUGAUCCAGAGAUUUCCGAAUGGGGAAACCCAGCAUGAGUUAUGUCAUGUUAUCGAUAUGUGAAUACAUAGCAUAUCAGAAGGCACACCCGGAGAACUGAAACAUCUUAGUACCCGGAGGAAGAGAAAGAAAAUUCGAUUCCCUUAGUAGCGGCGAGCGAAACGGGAAGAGCCCAAACCAACAAGCUUGCUUGUUGGGGUUGUAGGACACUCUAUACGGAGUUACAAAGGACGACAUUAGACGAAUCAUCUGGAAAGAUGAAUCAAAGAAGGUAAUAAUCCUGUAGUCGAAAAUGUUGUCUCUCUUGAGUGGAUCCUGAGUACGACGGAGCACGUGAAAUUCCGUCGGAAUCUGGGAGGACCAUCUCCUAAGGCUAAAUACUCUCUAGUGACCGAUAGUGAACCAGUACCGUGAGGGAAAGGUGAAAAGCACCCCGGAAGGGGAGUGAAAUAGAACCUGAAACCGUGUGCUUACAAGUAGUCAGAGCCCGUUAAUGGGUGAUGGCGUGCCUUUUGUAGAAUGAACCGGCGAGUUACGAUUUGAUGCAAGGUUAAGCAGUAAAUGUGGAGCCGUAGCGAAAGCGAGUCUGAAUAGGGCGUUUAGUAUUUGGUCGUAGACCCGAAACCAGGUGAUCUACCCUUGGUCAGGUUGAAGUUCAGGUAACACUGAAUGGAGGACCGAACCGACUUACGUUGAAAAGUGAGCGGAUGAACUGAGGGUAGCGGAGAAAUUCCAAUCGAACCUGGAGAUAGCUGGUUCUCUCCGAAAUAGCUUUAGGGCUAGCCUCAAGUGAUGAUUAUUGGAGGUAGAGCACUGUUUGGACGAGGGGCCCCUCUCGGGUUACCGAAUUCAGACAAACUCCGAAUGCCAAUUAAUUUAACUUGGGAGUCAGAACAUGGGUGAUAAGGUCCGUGUUCGAAAGGGAAACAGCCCAGACCACCAGCUAAGGUCCCAAAAUAUAUGUUAAGUGGAAAAGGAUGUGGCGUUGCCCAGACAACUAGGAUGUUGGCUUAGAAGCAGCCAUCAUUUAAAGAGUGCGUAAUAGCUCACUAGUCGAGUGACACUGCGCCGAAAAUGUACCGGGGCUAAACAUAUUACCGAAGCUGUGGAUUGUCCUUUGGACAAUGGUAGGAGAGCGUUCUAAGGGCGUUGAAGCAUGAUCGUAAGGACAUGUGGAGCGCUUAGAAGUGAGAAUGCCGGUGUGAGUAGCGAAAGACGGGUGAGAAUCCCGUCCACCGAUUGACUAAGGUUUCCAGAGGAAGGCUCGUCCGCUCUGGGUUAGUCGGGUCCUAAGCUGAGGCCGACAGGCGUAGGCGAUGGAUAACAGGUUGAUAUUCCUGUACCACCUAUAAUCGUUUUAAUCGAUGGGGGGACGCAGUAGGAUAGGCGAAGCGUGCGAUUGGAUUGCACGUCUAAGCAGUAAGGCUGAGUAUUAGGCAAAUCCGGUACUCGUUAAGGCUGAGCUGUGAUGGGGAGAAGACAUUGUGUCUUCGAGUCGUUGAUUUCACACUGCCGAGAAAAGCCUCUAGAUAGAAAAUAGGUGCCCGUACCGCAAACCGACACAGGUAGUCAAGAUGAGAAUUCUAAGGUGAGCGAGCGAACUCUCGUUAAGGAACUCGGCAAAAUGACCCCGUAACUUCGGGAGAAGGGGUGCUCUUUAGGGUUAACGCCCAGAAGAGCCGCAGUGAAUAGGCCCAAGCGACUGUUUAUCAAAAACACAGGUCUCUGCUAAACCGUAAGGUGAUGUAUAGGGCUGACGCCUGCCCGGUGCUGGAAGGUUAAGAGGAGUGGUUAGCUUCUGCGAAGCUACGAAUCGAAGCCCCAGUAAACGGCGGCCGUAACUAUAACGGUCCUAAGGUAGCGAAAUUCCUUGUCGGGUAAGUUCCGACCCGCACGAAAGGCGUAACGAUUUGGGCACUGUCUCAACGAGAGACUCGGUGAAAUCAUAGUACCUGUGAAGAUGCAGGUUACCCGCGACAGGACGGAAAGACCCCGUGGAGCUUUACUGUAGCCUGAUAUUGAAAUUCGGCACAGCUUGUACAGGAUAGGUAGGAGCCUUUGAAACGUGAGCGCUAGCUUACGUGGAGGCGCUGGUGGGAUACUACCCUAGCUGUGUUGGCUUUCUAACCCGCACCACUUAUCGUGGUGGGAGACAGUGUCAGGCGGGCAGUUUGACUGGGGCGGUCGCCUCCUAAAAGGUAACGGAGGCGCUCAAAG
Molecule: ribosomal RNA, 2302 nt
Filed under: Staphylococcus aureus subsp. aureus AMRF1
Lineage: Bacteria; Bacillati; Bacillota; Bacilli; Caryophanales; Staphylococcaceae
Description: bacterial LSU rRNA
Rfam family: Bacterial large subunit ribosomal RNA
Source: RNAcentral